UAGAAACCAAAAUUUAAGUUACAUCAUAUCCUUAUGAUACAGUAAUAAAAGCAAUUGCAUGGGACUUUUUCUUGUAGCCCAAUGGUCUCACUCCUAGAUAUUUACUGAGAUAAAUGAAAAUAGAUUUUCAUUAAAUGGCCUGUGUAGAAAUGGUGGUCAAUAGGUAAAUGAAUAAACAACCUAUGGUAUAUUCAUACAGUGGAAUACUGUUUAACAAUAAUGAGAAUGACUAUGUGAUAUCUAUAACAACAUAAAUGAGUCUCAAAAAUAUGAUGUUACAUGAAAGAAGUCAGAAACAAAGGAGUACAUACCAUCUGAUCCCAUUGACUUGAAACUCUGGAACCAGUAAAAAUAAUCUCUAGAGAUGGAAAUCGGGCCAGGGUUGUCUAGGGCAGUGAGUAGAGGUGACUGA
Molecule: long non-coding RNA, 412 nt
Filed under: Pan troglodytes (chimpanzee)
Lineage: Eukaryota; Metazoa; Chordata; Mammalia; Primates; Hominidae
Description: long non-coding RNA NONPTRT009978
Source: RNAcentral